Long non-coding RNA from Neogale vison (American mink), 476 nucleotides. RefSeq lists it as uncharacterized. The record is from RefSeq and is a predicted model, not a curated record. Lineage: Eukaryota; Metazoa; Chordata; Mammalia; Carnivora; Mustelidae. The transcript is spliced from 3 exons.
CGAAUAAACACAACAACUCUUCCUGCUUAACCGAAUUUGAGGCUUGGGCUGAGACCUUUAUAACGAAGACAUUUGCACGUUCCUUGCAGAACUGUGAGGAAUAAAGGAGUUCAUGUAUCCCAGCCCAACAAGAGCAUUUCGGCAUGCAAACAAUCUGAAUGCAACAUGGGACAUGAUGGCGGAAGCUGGUGUAGCUGUCUUGGGUCACAAGGCAGUCUUUGGAAUGAGCCCGUGCAUCCCAUGUCUAUCAGAGCAACAAGGCAGAAAGAACCUGGGCCCUGGCACCAUGCUGGGACAUACCACAUGGGCAGUCCCAUCUGUGAGCUUCUACUGGAGAGAGAAAUAAACUUUUAUCUUGUUCCAACCACCAUUUCUCAGGUCGUUAUUUUCUCUUGGCAGAUACCAGUCCUAAUGUGAUAUAAAGGUAUUAGAAAAUUUGUAUUCAAUCGCCCUUCCCUACUAAGUUGGUCGAGUUA